Long non-coding RNA from Bos indicus x Bos taurus (hybrid cattle), 2574 nucleotides. Ensembl annotates it as flocculation protein FLO11-like. Lineage: Eukaryota; Metazoa; Chordata; Mammalia; Artiodactyla; Bovidae. The record is from Ensembl.
GCCUGAGGUUGUAUAAAUGUCCUGUGGAGUUGCAGUCCCGCACUCUUGGCCUCCCCACCUCUGCCAGCCUCCUGGGCUCUCCACCCAGCACCACCAGCAUCAUGCUCCGGCAAGCCCUUCUUCUCUCCACCUGCUUCGCUCUGGCUAUGACUUACCCUGCACUGCUUCAGGAAUUCAUUGCUGACUUCGAGUCAACCAUUGACAUAGAGUACACUGGCUUCGAGUCAACCAGUGGCCUAGAGUCAGCCACUGGCUCCACUUACCUGGAGUCAACCACUGUCCCUGCUGACCUGGAGUCAACAACUGUCCUAGAGUCAACCACAGGCCUCGAGUCAACAAUUGGCUUAGAGUCGACAACUGGCCUAGAGUCCACAGCUGGCCUAGAGUCCACAGCUGGCCCCAUUGACCUGGAGGCAACCACUGGCCCCACUGACCUGGAGUUGACAGUUGGCCUAGAGUUAACCACUGGCCCCACUGACUUGGAGUUGACCACUGGCCUCCAGUUAACCACUGGCCCCAUUGACCUGGAUUCAACCACUGGCCUAGAGUCAGCCACUGGCCGCACUAACCUGGAGUCAAUCACAGACCUAGAGUCAACCUCUGGCCUAGAGUUGACUACUGGCCCCACUGACCUGGAGUCGACCACUGGCCUACAGUCGACCACUGGCCUACAGUUGACCACUGGCCUAGAGGCAAUCAUUAGCCCCACUGACCUGGAGUCAACUACUGGCCUAGAGUCAGCCACUGGCCGAACUAACCUGGAGUCAGUCACAGACCUAGAGUCAACCUCUGGCCUAGAGUUGACUAUUGGCCCCACUGACCUGGAGUCGACCACUGGCCCACAGUCAACCACUGGCCUACAGUCAACUACUAGCCCCACUGACCUGGAGUCAACCACUCACCUACAGUCAACCAUUGGCUUAGAGUCAACCACUGGCCUAUCAGACUUGACCACUCACCAUGACUUCACUGAAGAUACAGAAACAACCACUGAAGUGUAUUUGGAGAACACACAGACUUUUGAAGGUGUCACUGCUGGUUAUUCUGAAGAGCCUGUGACUGAAGCAUAAGAUGACCCAGUAUCUCUACGGGAAGGAACAAGUCCAAUGCAGUGUUUUUUGUUUAGAAAAUGAAGCAGAUUCUCAUACCUGUGACUGUUGCUCUAUUAACCACAAUUUUCCAAGAAGGUUCUGAGCCUUUGAACAAGACUUCCAUUCCAUCAUAGGAGCUUGGAUAAUUAUAAAAGACUAGUGAGAAUGUACCCACUUGAGGAUAAACAGAGUGGCAGGGAUUGACAAUACACAGACAGAAGAAAAGCAUCUCUCAAACAUGUCCCAUUUAAAACAGGCUCAAUACAUGUUCAUCUGCACUGACUGAAUUUUGAGGGGGGAGGUUAUUUUACAAGGCAACAUAUUGCUUAGUUGCCUUGUUUUCAUACCAAUAGCCAUUUUAUUCCUCUCUGAUACAUACUUUAUGUUGUUUAAUUGCUGAGCUGUGUCCAACUCUUUGCAACCCCAUGGACUGCAGCAUGCCAGAAUUUUCUGUCCUUCACUAUCUCCCAGUUUGCUCAAACUCAUGUCCAUUGAGUCGAUGAGGUCAUCCAAUCAUCUCAUUCCCUGUUUUCCCCUUCGAUGCCUAUCCUCAAUCUUUCCCAGCAUUAAGAUCUUUUCCAAUGAGUCAGCUCUUCACAUCAGGUGGCCAAAGUAUUGGAGCUUCAACUUCAGCAUCAGUCCUUCCAAUGAAUAUUCAGGGCUGAUUUCCUUUAGGGUUGACUGGUUUGAUCUUUUUGCUGUCCAAGGGACUCUGUAAUCAGAUCCUAACUCUUUCCGGCCACAGAAAAGUAUGAAAUGAGCCUAUGGAAAAUAUAUUGGUGUUUCUAUUCCUAGUAUAACAAAUUACUACAAACGUAGUAGACUAAAAUAAUAUAUAAACCUCUUAUUUUAUAGUUUUGUAGCUCACAAUUCUGAAAGGUAUCUCACUGAGUUUCAUGAUACAGGAUGCUCGGGCCUGGUGCACUGGGAUGACCCAGAGGGAUGGUAUGGGGAUUGAGGUGGGAGGGGGGUUCAGGAUAGGGAACAUGUGUACACCCGUGGCAGAUUCAUGUUGAUGUAUGGCAAAACCAAUACAAUAUCAUAAUUAGCCUCCAAUUAAAAUAAAUAGAUUUAUAUUAAAAAACAAAGACAACAUGUUGGCAGGGGUGAGUUUCUUUCUGGAUACUUUCUGGAAGAAUCAAUUUCCUUUCCCACUUCCCAUAGCACUCUUAUGUCUUUGAAGCCAGCAAAAGUUGACUGAUUCUCAUAAUAUAUCACAGAGUCACCAACAUGUACCAUGCUGUCCCUUGUCUUGCACAUCUGAGCCCCUACCUGGAUAAUCUAGGAAAAUCUCUAUUUCAAGGUCAAUUGACUAAUGACCUUUAUUCCUCCCUUUGCUGUGUAAUUUAACAUAUUCAUUGGGCAAGAAUGAUACAAAAGUUUGUAAAAGUUCCAUAAAAAAUAUUGUAUAGAAUUAAAGUGCAUGAUGAUUUGAUAUACACAUGCAUAGUGAAAUGAUUACCACAAUAAAGUUGAUUAACAU